GGGGCCUUAGCUCAGUUUGGGAGAGCGCCUGCCUUGCACGCAGGAGGUCAGGGGUUCGAAUCCCCUAGGCUCCA
Molecule: transfer RNA, 74 nt
Filed under: Pseudomonadota bacterium
Lineage: Bacteria; Pseudomonadati; Pseudomonadota
Also listed under: 1 other name
Description: tRNA-Ala
Rfam family: tRNA
About the family: Transfer RNA (tRNA) molecules are approximately 80 nucleotides in length. Their secondary structure includes four short double-helical elements and three loops (D, anti-codon, and T loops). Further hydrogen bonds mediate the characteristic L-shaped molecular structure. tRNAs have two regions of fundamental functional importance: the anti-codon, which is responsible for specific mRNA codon recognition, and the 3' end, to which the tRNAs corresponding amino acid is attached (by aminoacyl-tRNA synthetases). tRNAs cope with the degeneracy of the genetic code in two manners: having more than one tRNA (with a specific anti-codon) for a particular amino acid; and 'wobble' base-pairing, i.e. permitting non-standard base-pairing at the 3rd anti-codon position.
Source: RNAcentral